GAUGAACGCUGGCGGCGUGCCUAAUACAUGCAAGUCGAGCGAACAGACGAGGAGCUUGUUCCUCUGAUGUUAGCGGCGGACGGGUGAGUCACACGUGGAUAACCUACCUAUCAGACUGGGAUAACUUCGGGACACCGGAGCUAAUACCGGAUAACAUGUUAAACCGCAUUGUUCAACAGUAAAAUACGGUCUUGCUGUCACUUCUAGAUGGAUCCGCGCCGCAUUAGCUAGUUGGUAAGGUAACGGCUUACCAAGGCAACGAUGCGUAGCCGACCUGAGAGGGGGAUCGGCCACACUGGAGCGGAGACACGGUCCAGACUACUGCGGGAGGCAGCAGUAGGGAAUCUGACGCAAUGGGCGAAAGCCUGACGGAGCAACGCCGCGUGAGUGAAGAAGGUCCUCGGUGCGGAAAACCCUGUUAUUAGGGAAGAACAAAUGUGGAAGUAACUAUGCACGUCUUGACGGUACCGAAUCAGAAAGCCACGGCUAACUACGUG
RNAcentral lists this ribosomal RNA (497 nucleotides) under uncultured bacterium. RNAcentral's name for it is "partial 16S ribosomal RNA". It matches the Rfam family "Bacterial small subunit ribosomal RNA", at positions 28 to 507 of the family's 1533-position model. The record is from RNAcentral.